GUCCAUGGUCUACCACCAUGCCACCCUGAACAAGCUUGAUGUCUGAUCUCAGAAGCCAAGCAAGGUUGGGCCUGGUAAGUACUUGGAUGGGAGACCACCUAGGAAGACCAGGUACUAUAGGUA
Molecule: ribosomal RNA, 123 nt
Organism: Pteropus vampyrus (large flying fox)
Lineage: Eukaryota; Metazoa; Chordata; Mammalia; Chiroptera; Pteropodidae
Source: Ensembl